Molecule: ribosomal RNA, 482 nt
Filed under: uncultured bacterium
Lineage: Bacteria
Description: bacterial SSU rRNA
Rfam family: Bacterial small subunit ribosomal RNA
Source: RNAcentral
AUUGAACGCUGGCGGCAGGCCUAACACAUGCAAGUCGAGCGCGAAAAUUCCUUCGGGGAUGAGUAGAGCGGCGGACGGGUGAGUAAUGCGCAGAAAUCUGCCCAGUAGUGGGGGACAACCUGGUGAAAACCAGGCUAAUACCGCAUACGCCCUACGGGGAAAGGACAGGGAGUCUUCGGACCUUGCGCUAUUGGAUGAGUCUGCGUCGGAUUAGCUUGUUGGUGAGGUAAUGGCUCACCAAGGCGACGAUCCGUAGCUGGUCUGAGAGGAUGAUCAGCCACACUGGGACUGAGACACGGCCCAGACUCCUACGGGAGGCAGCAGUGGGGAAUAUUGGACAAUGGGCGAAAGCCUGAUCCAGCCAUGCCGCGUGUGUGAAGAAGGCUCUAGGGUUGUAAAGCACUCUCAGUGGGGAAGAAAGCUUGUUAGCUAAUAACUGACGAGUGUGACAUUACCCACAGAAGAAGCACCGGCUAACUCCG